This 405-nucleotide ribosomal RNA is filed under the name uncultured Gammaproteobacteria bacterium. RNAcentral describes it as "bacterial SSU rRNA". It matches the Rfam family "Bacterial small subunit ribosomal RNA", at positions 9 to 416 of the family's 1533-position model. The record is from RNAcentral. Lineage: Bacteria; Pseudomonadati; Pseudomonadota; Gammaproteobacteria.
GAGUUUGAUCGUGGCUCAGAGUGAACGCUGGCGGCAGGCCUAACACAUGCAAGUCGAGCGGCAGCGCGGGGGCAACCCUGGCGGCGAGCGGCGGACGGGUGAGGAAUGCGUCGGAAUCUGCCUCUUUGUGGGGGAUAACGUAGGGAAACUUACGCUAAUACCGCAUACGACCUACGGGUGAAAGUGGGGGACCUUCGGGCCUCACGCAGAGAGAUGAGCCGACGCCGGAUUAGCUAGUUGGCGGGGUAAAGGCCCACCAAGGCGACGAUCCGUAGCUGGUCUGAGAGGAUGAUCAGCCACACUGGAACUGAGACACGGUCCAGACUCCUACGGGAGGCAGCAGUGGGGAAUAUUGGACAAUGGGCGCAAGCCUGAUCCAGCCAUGCCGCGUGUGUGAAGAAGGCC